GGGUGUGAUUAUACUAGUGCUAAUGCUCCAGAUCCCUCCAGAACUACGCAGUUAAGCGUGCUUGGGCGAGACUGGUACUAGGAUGGGUGACCUCCUAGGAAGUCCUAGUGUUGCGCCCC
RNAcentral lists this ribosomal RNA (119 nucleotides) under Gossypium arboreum. The record is from RNAcentral. Lineage: Eukaryota; Viridiplantae; Streptophyta; Magnoliopsida; Malvales; Malvaceae.